UAGGGAAUCUUCCGCAAUGGACGCAAGUCUGACGGAGCAACGCCGCGUGAGUGAAGAAGGAUUUCGGUUCGUAAAACUCUGUUGUUAGAGAAGAACAGCGCAUAGAGUAACUGUUAUGCGUGUGACGGUAUCUAACCAGAAAGCCACGGCUAACUACGUGCCAGCAGCCGCGGUAAUACGUAGGUGGCAAGCGUUGUCCGGAUUUAUUGGGCGUAAAGCGAGCGCAGGCGGUCAAUUAAGUCUGAUGUGAAAGCCCCCGGCUCAACCGGGGAGGGUCAUUGGAAACUGGUUGACUUGAGUGCAGAAGAGGAGAGUGGAAUUCCAUGUGUAGCGGUGAAAUGCGUAGAUAUAUGGAGGAAAACCGGUGGCGAAAGCGGCUCUCUGGUCUGUAACUGACGCUGAGGCUCGAAAGCGUGGGGAGCGAACAGG
Molecule: ribosomal RNA, 429 nt
Filed under: Bacteroidota bacterium
Lineage: Bacteria; Pseudomonadati; Bacteroidota
Description: Bacteroidetes bacterium partial 16S ribosomal RNA
Rfam family: Bacterial small subunit ribosomal RNA
Source: RNAcentral